UUGGACAGCCCCAACAUCAACAUCUUUUCUCUCUCAGAGGACUAAGGCUGAGAAAGAAUGUCCACCAUUAAUAGCCCCCACUCUAACCUCAAAAUCCGUGUCAUGUAACUCGCCAAGACAAAAAUCUAACGGUUCCAAACCUCAAGCAUUUCAUACACCAAACCACACCCAUUCACCCCUCCACAAGAAACAGCCAAAACGUUUAGUCACUGAACAGGCACCCAAAAAGCAGCCACCAGCAGCAGCAGCAGUGGUAGGGGUCAGCACUUCAGCAGCCAAAACAAACCCACACGGCAAACCAACAAACAAAGCCAGAAACGAAGACCCUUUUCUUUCUUUUCUUUUUUUAGUUCAAAAUAAAAAGCGGGAUUAGGGUCGUUUUAGGUUAUUUUUAUUUUUAGUUGAAGUAAACAGUUGACAGAGGGAGAGGGGGAAAAAUGGUGAACCCAAGAUGUUAUUUGGACAUAAGUAUAGGAGGAGAACUAGAAGGAAGGAUAGUCGUGGAGUUGUACAAGGAUGUUGUGCCUAAAACUGCUGAAAAUUUUAGGGCUUUGUGUACUGGUGAGAAAGGCAUUGGACCUAAAACUGCUGCGUCCCUGCAUUACAAGGGUGUGCGCUUUCAUCGCAUUAUCAGAGGUUUUAUGAUACAAGGUGGGGAUAUAUCAGCUGGUGAUGGAACUGGGGGAGAAUCCAUUUAUGGCUUGAAAUUUGAAGAUGAAAAUUUUGAGUUAAAACAUGAAAGAAAAGGAAUGUUAUCAAUGGCUAAUACGGGGCCUAACACCAAUGGGUCUCAAUUCUUUAUUACAACUACUCGAACAUCUCAUCUCGAUGGAAAACAUGUGGUUUUUGGGAAGGUUAUAAAAGGAAUGGGUAUUGUUCGUUCUAUCGAGCAUGUUGCUACUGAAGAUGGUGAUUACCCCGCUCAAGAGGUUAUAAUUGCAGAUUGUGGAGAAAUUCCUGAGGGGGCAGAUGAUGGAAUAUCUAACUUUUUUAAGGAUGGUGAUAUUUAUCCUGAUUGGCCGGCUGACCUUGACAAAAAACCAGAUGAAAUUUCUUGGUGGAUGAAGGCAGUAGACUCUAUCAAAGCUUUUGGAAAUGAGCAAUACAAGAAACAAGACUAUAAGAUUGCUCUUAGAAAAUAUUGGAAGGCUUUGCGCUACUUGGAUGUCUGCUGGGAGCAGGAGGGCAUUGAUGAAGCAAAGAGCUCUGCAUUACGAAAGACGAAGUCUCAGAUAUUUACAAAUAGUUCUGCCUGCAAGUUGAAACUAGGUGAUCUAAAAGGAGCAUUAUUGGACACAGACUUUGCGAUUCGUGAUGGAGAAGAUAAUGUGAAAGCUUUCUUUCGCCAAGGCCAGGCAUAUAUGGCACUUAAUGACAUAGAUGCUGCAGUUGAGAGCUUUAAAAAGGCAUUGGACUUAGAGCCAAAUGAUGGUGGAAUAAAGAAAGAACUUGCAGCUGCAAGGAAGAAGAUUGCUGAUAGAAGAGACCAGGAGAAAAAGGCAUACUCUAGAAUGUUUCAGUAGAUCUAUAGCCAAAAUUAUGGCCGCCUUUUGUCUAAAAGGAUCAAUUUUGGGUUUUUUUUUUGCAUAUAUUGUCAUUAUCCAGUCAUUGGAGUUCUUCUGACUAUAGUCUGGCUGACUUUUGGAAAAAUCAGGCUUUAGUGUAUGCUAAAACCUGCCGCCAGGUCUCUUUUCAGGAAAUACUCAAACUGGAUGAAUUAAAUUCAGAACUGUCUUUUAUUUCUUUUUGUUUCUGGUCAAGCAGAUGUGACAUUUUAUUCCCUGCAGAAACUGUUUUUU
Non-coding RNA from Durio zibethinus, 1799 nucleotides. NCBI's taxonomy places the organism in Eukaryota, Viridiplantae, Streptophyta, Magnoliopsida, Malvales, Malvaceae. The record is from RefSeq and is a predicted model, not a curated record.